This is a non-coding RNA of Daphnia pulex (common water flea), 85 nucleotides long. Lineage: Eukaryota; Metazoa; Arthropoda; Branchiopoda; Diplostraca; Daphniidae. The record is from Rfam.
GAUAGUGUGGCCGAAUGUUCUAUGGCGCUGGUUUAAGGCACCAGUCUCUUCGGAGGCAAGGGUUCGAAUAGUCUUUUCACUGUCA